This 1537-nucleotide long non-coding RNA is filed under the name Malus domestica (apple). RNAcentral's name for it is "long non-coding RNA (MDOM_LNC008922)". The record is from RNAcentral. Lineage: Eukaryota; Viridiplantae; Streptophyta; Magnoliopsida; Rosales; Rosaceae.
UUGCUUGCUGUGAAUGUGAUGCUUAGUUCAAACCUGCUAUCCUAUUUAUAAGAAAUUAAGCACAAGCUAGCUCAAGUUAUGGUCUUUAAUUAAUAUUAAUUUCGACAAAUCAGUUUCCCAUCUCUUUCAUUGAUAUGAACAUGGCUGAUCUCAUUGGUGUGGCGCAAUAUUUGUUAAAUUAGCCGUUCGGGUUGAUUUCUUUGUAUAACUCAUCUGCCAAUUCUACAACUUGUAGACUUAAUUCCCUUACAAAAUUAAAAAUAAAAUAAAAUCCGAAACUAAUGUAAGAUAAAUAAAGACUUUUUAUAUCAUAAAAUAAGACUUUAUAACUUGUAUACAAGACUAUAGUGACAAGAUCAAACACAUUGAUGGGUGCGCAUUUUCCAUCAACAUCUGUUAUGUGCAUUUAAACUGAGCGUGGAGUCUUUUUUAGCAAUUAAAAGUUUUGUAUCAUGUAUUGUCUUGGUUUGAUAAGACCUACAUCUAGAUGAGUUGCUUCUGAAGACUAAUGUAAAACUUUAUGUGGAUAUUUCUUCAGGGUGAAACAUCGUUUGAGAAACGUUUUGGACCUCAUUACAAUUUUUUCAUUUAUUUUUUAACUUUUGGUUUAAAUAUUCUACAAUAAAUACAUUUGUGGCUUUAAUAACCAGUAAAACCACUUUCAAAUAUCUUAGUAUCGGCUUUCAGAACAAAGGGGUUUGGUAGUACAGGUGGAGCCAUGUUGUAUAGUGUAGCUGGGAUUGGGAUGAUCUCUCUCUCUUUUUCUUUUCUUUUUUUCCUUUAAUUUGCUUGCUUUGAAUGUGAUGCUCAGUUCAAACCUACUAUCCUAUUUCUAAGAAAUUAAGCACAAGCUAUCUCAAGUUAUGGUCUUUAAUUAAUAUUAAUUUCCUCAAUCAGUUUCCCAUAUCUUUCAUUGAUACGAACAUGGCUGAUCUCAUUGGUGUGACGCAAGAUUUGUUAAAAUAGCUGAUCGGAUUGAUUUUUUCUUUGUAUAACUCUUCUGCCAAUUCUGAAAUUGUACAUAUAAUUCCCAUUAUAAAAUAAAUAAAUAAAAUCCAAAACUCAUAUAAAAUAAAUAGAGACUUUUUAUAGCAUAUAAAAUAAGACUUUGUAACUUGUACAUAGUUACAAGAUUGAACACAUUGAUGGGUUUUAUAUUUGGGGCUCACUACAACUUUUUUUCACUUAAUUUUAGGUUUUGGCUUAAAUAUACCAUUCAAACUAAAUGUGUGGCUCAUUAAUUGGUAGAAACCUUUCCAAAUGCUUUUUAAAUGUUCUCUUAAUGCUAACGGAGAAUAUUUUGAGAAGACAAAAUAUUUGCAUUUCUCACGAAAAUAUGGGUGCUCAUUAAUUUUAGUUGGUUUUGCAAUUUUGUAUAAAAUCAUCAUUAAAUAUAGUAGUUUUCAUCUUUGGCUCACCGCUAUAUUUCUAAAAGUAGUGUAAGACUUUCAGCCUUUGUUCACUAGUGAGGAUCUUAUCAAGAUAGAGCAGCCAUAAGAAACUCUUAACUUUGGAGGAAUAUGAAGUUUCCAAAUGA